GAUGCUUCAUGCCUCCUCCUCUGACAAAGUAACCAAACCCCACCUCCUGUUCAGGGGACAAGGAAAAGCCCAGGACUUGCAGAUGGCAAGUUGUCAUACGCAGUGACGUAGUGAGGCAAGUUGUUCCUGGCUCCCGUCUGAAAACUCUGUCCUCCCAGGCCUUCCUGUCAUGUCCCAGUCGCCCUUCUGCCGGCCUCACCUCCUGGUCACAGGCUUGGACUCGUGUGGUCUUCAGAGGAAAGCAUCUGCAUACACCCAGGACCAAACCACAUUCCGUGCAGUAGUGACGAGAACACUUGUGGACCUCCACCUCUAAAAGUGCAAUUACCAGAGAAAAGAAGCCACAUCUCCAAUGAAAGGCAUAAAAUGAGAUGGAAGAAAUUCUCAGAUAAAGCCCAAUAAUUAAGAUUAUCCUUAACAACCACUGUCCUAGUUGCUAACUAGCUUUUUAAAGUCACCUUUGUGACCUCAUCUUGUGCCUAGCACAAAGCAAGCACUCAAUAAAUGGUUGAUGCAAGA
Long non-coding RNA from Chinchilla lanigera (long-tailed chinchilla), 519 nucleotides. RefSeq lists it as uncharacterized. Lineage: Eukaryota; Metazoa; Chordata; Mammalia; Rodentia; Chinchillidae. The transcript is spliced from 2 exons. The record is from RefSeq and is a predicted model, not a curated record.